Molecule: ribosomal RNA, 497 nt
Filed under: uncultured bacterium
Lineage: Bacteria
Description: partial 16S ribosomal RNA
Rfam family: Bacterial small subunit ribosomal RNA
Source: RNAcentral
GAUGAACGCUGGCGGCGUGCCUAAUACAUGCAAGUCGAGCGAACGGACGAGAAGCUUGCUUCUCUGAUGUUAGCGGCGGACGGGUGAGUAACACGUGGAUAACCUACCUAUAAGACUGGGAUAACUUCGGGAAACCGGAGCUAAUUCCGGAUAAUAUUUUGAACCGCAUGGUUCAAUAGUGAAAGACGGUCUUGCUGUCACUUAUAGAUGGAUCCGCGCUGCAUUAGCUAGUUGGUAAGGUAACGGCUUACCAAGGCAACGAUGCAUAGCCGACCUGAGAGGGUGAUCGGCCACACUGGAACUGAGACACGGUCCAGACUCCUACGGGAGGCAGCAGUAGGGAAUCUUCCGCAAUGGGCGAAAGCCUGACGGAGCAACGCCGCGUGAGUGAUGAAGGUCUUCGGAUCGUAAAACUCUGUUAUUAGGGAAGAACAUAUGUGUAAGUAACUGUGCACAUCUUGACGGUACCUAAUCAGAAAGCCACGGCUAACUACGUG